AGACAACUGACCAAGCGGAAGCAAUUUUAACGUUGUUUUCUAAUAAGCAAUAUUAGAAAUGCAUUAAUUCAUUUGAGAUGCUGUGGAGGUGAUGCACAGGGACAGGGUGAUAAUGACCCCAGUCAUGUUGAUGAGGAGGGAGAGAAGGGACAGGAGGAGCAGAAGGAGGAGAAGGAGGGGGACAGGGAAGAGAAGCAGCAGGAGGAGAAGGUUUCUGAGUCUGAUGUCAUAUCCUGCAGGGCACUGGAAAGACUUGGCAGACUUCCCAGCAGCGCAGCCUCCAGGGGCUGAUUCAGCCAAUGUUCCCACCCAGGAAUCCUGGACGUCUGACAGGAAACAGGCCUAACUCUCCCAAGGCCACUACAAGUCAGCCUCUCCCUUCACCCCAUGUCUCCCCCUUACCCAAAAACCUCUCGGGGGACUUUUCUUUAUGUGUCUCUCAGACAAACUAUCUUUCAAAUACACAUUCUUCUUCACCACACCCCUUUUCAUCCUCCCUGCCCUCUGCCCGGCUUUCCAUUGUAGGCCUGUCAUGUUUUAGCCUUCAAGCAAUUGAACAAUUUUAUGAGGUAAGCGAGCAGAGCAACAUUUGCAUGCACAAUUUUGGGCUUUCAUGUCGAAGCUAGUAUUUUUCUGACCUUGUCGGAGCAUGUUUUGAUUAAAUGCUGCUUCUCACAUACUCUUCAGAUGUGAGCACUAUAGGAAGGCAUCUUGUGACCUGCACAUAAGCUACAGCUGCAAUUACAUUUGUUUACAGCUCAAAAAUAACCUUGAACACAAAUGGCAUUCUUUCAGUAUUUCAUUUAUUUUAUAAAAAGGGAAUUAACAAAAUGUUUAUGUACCUACAUUAGUGUUUCAGAUUGUACCGAUUUAACACAGGCAGCGUGCUACUGGACACAAAAGGCUAUUGCACACGAGACAUUUCAUAUAACACAAAUCAUACAUACUGUACAAAGAUACAUACAUACAUACAUACUUACAAACAUACAUAGUUAUUCAUGUAUUUAUCAUUUUUUUUUAAAUCAGGCAAUACAAUGAAGUGAUAGGUACACAGAUUAAAACAUAUCUCCAUCUGAAAAAACUGGGGGAAAGCAAACAUCACUGAAGCUGCCAAAGUGCUUUUCACCAUUUCUACUUGGUCAUCUAAAUAUAAAACUCAAUAUUAAAACACUGACGGAGAAAAGACUUUUAGAUGUGUGUACAGGAAUAAGGUUAGUCUAACCCUGAACAACAGGAACCGGACAAUUAAAAAAACAAGACUUCCUAUGGCUGAAGGAAGUUGCGUGUUGUAGGAUGUCAGAAAACGAGGAUGAAGCUGACCUCCCAGGAGGGCAGAUCCCCUCUUUUCCGCUUCAAACCGGAUCUUCUCCUAUUUUGCAAGGGGUCUUUGGAAAGCUGAGACUUGUUUACAUCUUUAGUUGUACAAGGCAUAUGGCUAGCUAAUUAAACCAUGAUGUUCACUACAAA
Micropterus dolomieu (smallmouth bass) is the source of this 1467-nucleotide long non-coding RNA. RefSeq lists it as uncharacterized. NCBI's taxonomy places the organism in Eukaryota, Metazoa, Chordata, Actinopteri, Centrarchiformes, Centrarchidae. The transcript has 3 exons. The record is from RefSeq and is a predicted model, not a curated record.